Small nucleolar RNA from Penaeus monodon (black tiger shrimp), 182 nucleotides. RefSeq annotates it as small nucleolar RNA SNORA23. The record is from RefSeq and is a predicted model, not a curated record. Lineage: Eukaryota; Metazoa; Arthropoda; Malacostraca; Decapoda; Penaeidae. The transcript has a single exon.
UGUGGGGUGUGUGUGUUGUGUGUAAGUGUGUGUGUGUGUGUGGGGUGUGUGUGGUAAUACACACUUACACACACACACAACACACCACACACACACACACACACACACACACAAAACAUAUAUAUAUAAUAUAUAUAUAUAUAUAUAUAUAUAUAUAUAUACAUACACACACACACACACAC